Molecule: transfer RNA, 74 nt
Filed under: Paenibacillus sp. PDC88
Lineage: Bacteria; Bacillati; Bacillota; Bacilli; Caryophanales; Paenibacillaceae
Also listed under: 2 other names
Description: tRNA_Cys_GCA
Rfam family: tRNA
About the family: Transfer RNA (tRNA) molecules are approximately 80 nucleotides in length.
Source: RNAcentral
GCGGAAGUAGCCAAGAGGUUUAAGGCGUUGGGUCGCAAACCCAAAGAUCGGUGGUUCGAAUCCAUCCUUCCGCU